RNAcentral lists this transfer RNA (62 nucleotides) under Prymnesium neolepis. RNAcentral describes it as "partial tRNA". It matches the Rfam family "tRNA", at positions 2 to 60 of the family's 71-position model. Rfam says of the family: Transfer RNA (tRNA) molecules are approximately 80 nucleotides in length. Their secondary structure includes four short double-helical elements and three loops (D, anti-codon, and T loops). Lineage: Eukaryota; Haptophyta; Prymnesiales; Prymnesiaceae. The record is from RNAcentral.
GGCAUAUAGCUCAGUUGGUUAGAGCGCACGCCUGAUAAGCGUGAGGUCGGAAGUUCAAAUCU